GGAAGGCUUGCCUAGCUAGAGAAGAAGGAUUUAAAAAUCCAUAUCUGAUAUCCCAAGCAAAACCUGCUGGCUGAGUGGUGGAGAAGAAGCAGUAGUGGUAGUGUGAUAAUUUGUUGACAGUUAUUUUUGCAGUGUUCUUGGUUGCAUUAGCUGCCACAGCCUCCUCUUGUGGGUGUCUGUCCGUACUGUGAGUGUCCGUCUGGGAAUGUGUGGAUACUGCUGAGCUAUCACGUGYGUCCACUCACAUUGCUCGAGCCAGCUUCCAAGUCGAUGCUUUUGGAUCAUCCUUCAUCCUGGAUGUAACACUAAACCAUAUAAGCAUCCAUGGAAUGAAGCAGGCACGUGCUGGACAAUCCCGGUUUGGUUGUUGCCUUCGGCAGAGAUUUCCUGUGGGGCGCUAGUGAGGCCACCAUGGACUCCAGCAAACACCUCUUCUCUUUGGGUGCCCGUUGUGAGCAGGAAGCUCAGGAGCAGCUUCCCAAAACUCCUCUGGAGUUGUCAUAGCUGCAGUGAAAACUGGGCAGGCAACAUCUGAAAUGGGUUAUGAUGAUAAAUACGUUUAUACAAUUUAUGGUUCUAAAGUGUUUCAAAUUGGGCACCCAAAGCACAGAGCUACUUUGGCAGUGUCUCAGGAUUGAGGAGAAUGUUUUUCGGAAUAUCAUAGAAUUGCCCUAUAUCAGAAUGCCCAUGCCUAUGCCCAGAAUAUCAUAGAAAUGUAGAAUAUCAUAGAAAUACAUGUAAAUGAAAAAUUGGUAUGUUUGUUGCAGAGUAAUAUGAUAUAUAUUGAUAUAUAUGA
Molecule: long non-coding RNA, 796 nt
Organism: Nothoprocta perdicaria
Lineage: Eukaryota; Metazoa; Chordata; Aves; Tinamiformes; Tinamidae
Exons: 3
Source: RefSeq, a predicted model, not a curated record